Molecule: non-coding RNA, 65 nt
Organism: Caenorhabditis elegans
Lineage: Eukaryota; Metazoa; Nematoda; Chromadorea; Rhabditida; Rhabditidae
Source: Ensembl
CUAGUUAGUUUUACAUGUGUGUCGUUCGUCUGUGAAACUAAAUUAUAUUUGCGUUUCUUCCACUU